UAGGGAAUCUUCCACAAUGGGCGAAAGCCUGAUGGAGCAACGCCGCGUGUGUGAUGAAGGGUUUCGGCUCGUAAAACACUGUUGUAAGAGAAGAAUGACAUUGAGAGUAACUGUUCAAUGUGUGACGGUAUCCUACCAGAAAGGAACGGCUAAAUACGUGCCAG
This 164-nucleotide ribosomal RNA is filed under the name uncultured bacterium. RNAcentral's name for it is "partial 16S ribosomal RNA". It matches the Rfam family "Bacterial small subunit ribosomal RNA", at positions 355 to 511 of the family's 1533-position model. The record is from RNAcentral.